GUCCUCUAUGCCUCAGUGGGUUAGUACUGUCAACACUAAGGUCCUCUAUGGCUCAGUAGGUUAGUACUGUCAACACUAAGGUCCUCUAUGGCUCAGUAGGUUAGUACUGUCAACACUAAGGUCCUCUAUGGCUCAGUAGGUUAGUACUGUCAACACUAAGGUCCUCUAUGGCUCAGUAAGUUAGUACUGGCAACACUAAGGUCCUCUAUCAGUAGUAGGUUAGAACUGUCAACACUAAGGUCCUCUAUGGCUCAGUAGGUUAGUACUGUCAACACUAAGGUCCUCUAUGGCUCAGUAGGUUAGUACUGUCAACACUAAGGUCCUCUAUGGCUCAGUAGGUUAGUACUGUCAACACUAAGGUCCUCUAUGGCUCAGGAUGGUGGUCUGUUUGAAACAUGUUGGUAUUACAGACUCGGUCAGCGAGUGGUUUGAAAAUGUCAGUGAAGACCAGUUUGCCAGUUUGUCCGCGCAAACUCUGAGUCCACGUUCCUGGUAAUCCGUCUGGCCCUGCGUCCUUGGGAAUGUUGACCUGUUUAAAAGUGUUGCUCACGUCGGCUACAGAGAGCGUGAUCACACAGUCAUCCGGAACAGCUUGUGCUCUCAUGCAUGCUUCAGUGUUGCUUGCCUCGAGGCGAACAUCAAAGGCAUUUAGCUCGUCUGGUAGGAUCGAUUCACUGGGCAGCUCGCGGCCGGGUCUCCCUUCGUCGUCCGUAAUAAUUUGCAAGCCCCCUGCCUCAUCCGACGAGCGUCAGAGACGAUUUCUUAUAAGCGUCCGGAUUAGUGUCGCGCUCCUUGAAAGCGGCAGCUCCUAGCCUUUAGCUCGACAGUAGUAGUGUCUGGGGGUGGUGGUA
RNAcentral lists this long non-coding RNA (851 nucleotides) under Salmo salar (Atlantic salmon). RNAcentral describes it as "lncRNA (ENSSSAG00000118769.1)". The record is from RNAcentral. Lineage: Eukaryota; Metazoa; Chordata; Actinopteri; Salmoniformes; Salmonidae.